GGAGGAAAGCAGGGGAUCGCAAGACCUUGCGCUUUUGGAGCGGCCGAUGCCUGAUUAGCUUGUUGGUGAGGUAAAAGCUCACCAAGGCUUCGAUCAGUAGCUGGUCUGAGAGGACGACCAGCCACACUGGGACUGAGACACGGCCCAGACUCCUACGGGAGGCAGCAGUGGGGAAUUUUGGACAAUGGGGGCAACCCUGAUCCAGCCAUGCCGCGUGAGUGAAGAAGGCCUUCGGGUUGUAAAGCUCUUUCAGCCGGAACGAAACGGUCACGGUUAAUACCCGUGACUACUGACGGUACCGGAAGAAGAAGCACCGGCUAACUACGUGCCAGCAGCCGCGGUAAUACGUAGGGUGCGAGCGUUAAUCGGAAUUACUGGGCGUAAAGCGUGCGCAGGUGGUUUUGUAAGUCAGAUGUGAAAUCCCCGGGCUUAACCUGGGAACUGCGUUUGAAACUACAAAGCUAG
RNAcentral lists this ribosomal RNA (465 nucleotides) under uncultured bacterium. RNAcentral describes it as "bacterial SSU rRNA". It matches the Rfam family "Bacterial small subunit ribosomal RNA", at positions 198 to 644 of the family's 1533-position model. The record is from RNAcentral.